UCUGACCUCAAAUCAGGUAGGACUACCCGCUGAACUUAAGCAUAUCAAUAAGCGGAGGAAAAGAAACUAACAAGGAUUCCCCUAGUAACUGCGAGUGAAGCGGGAAAAGCUCAAAUUUGAAAUCUGGCAGUCUUUUUUUUCUUCUUUGGCUGUCCGAGUUGUAAUCUAGAGAAGUGCUUACCUGCGCUGGAC
Molecule: ribosomal RNA, 192 nt
Filed under: Amanita sp. 'hahatonka'
Lineage: Eukaryota; Fungi; Basidiomycota; Agaricomycetes; Agaricales; Amanitaceae
Description: partial 28S ribosomal RNA
Rfam family: Eukaryotic large subunit ribosomal RNA
Source: RNAcentral